Molecule: RNA transcript, 4296 nt
Organism: Carcharodon carcharias (great white shark)
Lineage: Eukaryota; Metazoa; Chordata; Chondrichthyes; Lamniformes; Lamnidae
Gene: pgm3
Gene name: phosphoglucomutase 3
Exons: 14
Source: RefSeq, a predicted model, not a curated record
CAUGACUAAUGUAUUGCAGAAUAUAUUCUUUUGGAAAACUUGUUGGCGUAUAAAUUCAUUUCAGAAGUUUUACUCGCAGAUUCGUAAGUAAACCAAAAAAUAGACACUGCGCUUGCGUUGUAGUAGCUGUUGACGGUUUGUGGGAAGGUUCGGGAAAGCGGUAAAAGGCAGAGCGGAGAAAAGGGAAAACGUUGGCCAGUGUAAACUGAGUUGUGUUCUGUGUUAUCGUAAGUAAGAGUGGCCCCUGACUAUUGAAUUACUGGCAGCAACUGGUUGUGAGCAGUCAGUUGUUGUAUCUGCAAUCAAGGUAUUUUACCGUAAAUAUUAGACUGGGGGAGUUCUAGUUCUGAGGAGUUUGGGAUUAUAUGUCGAGUACCGUGGAGUGAGAUCAUUGAAACUUGUACCUAAACUCCCUUGGGUAAAUAAGGAGUGUUCCAGAAGGAGAGAGAAUAUGGCUUACUUUCAAGAAGUAGCAAUAAUUUCUGGAGCGUACCCUAAGCCUGUCGCGCUAGUUCUUCAGUAUGGAACAGCAGGAUUCCGUGCAAAGGCUGAUCAGCUGGAUCACGUGAUGUAUCGCAUGGGCUUGCUAGCAGUGUUAAGGUCCAAGAAAACCAAAUCUACUAUUGGUGUAAUGGUCACAGCCUCUCAUAAUCCAGAAGAAGACAAUGGAGUGAAAUUGGUUGAUCCUCUUGGAGAAAUGCUUGCACCUACUUGGGAAGCAUAUGCCACACAGUUAGCAAAUGCAGAAGAACAGGAUCUGAAAUCUGUCUUAAUCAAUAUUCUCGACAAUGAGUCUAUGAACCUGCAGGAGAUGGCUCGGGUUGUUCUUGGCAGAGAUACACGGCCCAGUAGCCAAAAACUUGCCCAGGUUGUUGUUGAUGGGGUGACUGCCUUAGGUGGAACUUACCAAGACUAUGGCCUUGUAAGCACCCCACAGCUGCAUUAUAUGGUCUGCUGUUGGAAUACCAUGGAGCAAUAUGGGACUGCUACAGUUGAAGGAUAUUACCGGAAACUUUCUCAGGCUUUUCUUGCCCUGACUAAGCAGACAACUUACCAUCUAGAGGAAUUGCGACAGCUGAACGUGGAUGGAGCAAAUGGUAUUGGUGCAUUAAAGCUUCAGGAAUUGGAGCCUUAUCUUCAGAAGAAGCUGCUGUUGAAGGUGCAUAAUGAUGGCGCAAGUGGCAAACUCAACUACCUGUGUGGAGCAGAUUUCGUAAAGGUUCAACAGAAGCCGCCUCAAGGCUUAGACAUGAAGGCAAAUGAACGCAGCUGCUCGUUUGAUGGUGAUGCAGACAGAAUUGUAUACUAUUACAUCAGUGAAUCCGGAUAUUUCCAUCUUCUUGAUGGAGAUAAAAUUGCUACUUUAAUUACUAUAUUUCUAAAGGAGCUUCUUGCCAAGGCAGAUUUGGACUUGCAGAUAGCAGUAGUGCAGACUGCCUAUGCAAAUGGCAGCUCAACGAGGUACAUUGAAGAGGUCAUGCAGGUUCCUGUGUACUGUGUGAAUACAGGAGUGAAAUAUUUGCACCAUAAAGCUCAGGAAUUUGAUGUUGGGGUUUAUUUUGAAGCAAAUGGACAUGGCACAGUUCUCUUCAGUAAAGCAGCUGAGAGUAAAAUCAGACAGCUGGCUCAGGACAAAAACCAAAUGGGAGAGAAAAGCAAUGCAGCUAAAAUGCUUGAAAAUACAAUUGAUCUAAUCAACCAGACAGUGGGGGAUGCCAUAUCAGACCUCCUGACAAUAGAAGCCAUCCUGUCUAUUAAGGGCUUCACUAUCCAGCAGUGGGAUUUCAUCUACACUGACCUUCCUAACAGGCAACUAAAAGUGAAGGUAUCUGAUCGACAAGUUAUUGUCACUGUGGAUGCUGGAAGGCGAACAGUGUCCCCUGCAGGGCUGCAGCAAAACAUUGAUGCUCUGGUGAAGCAGUACAAUUUGUCACGAGCCUUUGUACGUCCAUCAGGCACAGAAGAUGUGGUCAGAGUGUAUGCUGAAGCUGACACACAGUGUCAGGAGUCAAACUCACGAGUAAACCUUCAUUCCCUGCAAACCAAGGUGUGGUUUUCUCGCUCAAGGUUAAGUUACAUAGCAUCACCUGGCUGAGGAAAGAACUUUUGCUAUGAUUGGCUCACUGGAGUUCACGUGGUUCACUGGAGUUUACAUUAGUCUGCUUAAUCCAGGAUAGAAGGAUGAAACAAACUAUCCAAAUGAGAUGAUAAACCACAAAUCAGACUAAUGCAGAUACUCUGGCACAUGAAGUGAGCCUUGUUGUGUACAAAUUGGCUGGAGGAGUAGGAGAGGAACCAAAGUUGAUUCACUGAGGAAAAACAAAACAAAUGGCGAAUGUGUCCGUUUGCAAUCUUUGGGUCUUACUUUACAGUAAGACUACAUCCAGGACACUUUGGGGAUGUGGAUGGUGGGCUGUUGUCUGGAAUUUAUGUAAUUAUUUAAAGCUAAACAUGCAGAUCCUACUGUAAUCAAGUAGUAAUAAUGCUCACAUGAGAAUUGCCAAUUUUAAAAUUUGAUAUCAUUGUGACCUGGAUGUGAAUACAGCUAGGAAAAAACACUAUGCAAAAGCAGGAACUUCUGUUUACAAUAUUUAUAUAACUGCAUUCUGUGUCAUAGGCUUAUGACAUUACUCAAUCCAUAAAAUAUUGUGAAAUAUUAAGUUUGAAUGGUCUUGCAAAAUAGCAACGUAUAUUGAUCUGUGCUUGAGAUGCCUUUCUUUCAGUUAAAGAAAACAUUCCUGUCUGUUCUCCACAUUCUCACAGUAGCCAGCAGUGGCUCAGUUGGUACCACUCACACCUCUGAGUUAUUAGGGUGUGGUUUUAAGUCCCACUCCAGGACUUCAACAGAAAAGUCAAAAACUGACACUCCAGUGCAGGACUAGGGAGUGCUGCACAGUGCUGUCUUUCAGGUGAAAUGUUAAACCGAGACCUUCUGUCGCUAUGAAGGAUCCCAUGACACUACUUCAAAGAAGAGCAGGGGAGUUAUCCAGGGUUUCUGCAGAAUAUAGAAAACCUAGAAAUGACAUGGAAUUUUUCAGGAAAUUUCCAGAAAAGGCCCAAAAUCAGUGAAAAGCCAUGGAAUUUUAUAGUCAGGAAUAAAACUUUUCCGAUUUUGGGUGGAAUUCUAAUGUCCGCUCCCCGCACCCCAGCCCCCCCACCCCCCGACCACCUUCACAUGUCCGAAAUCCAGUAUGGAUUUUGUUCUACUCCUGCCUGAUCUUGCUCAUUGCCACGGCUUCUUUGCAGACUGCCAGAACAAGAGUCGUCACUGGCUGUGUAGCCUGUCAUUCAGAGUUAGUCUAUGUGCCAGAUUGGCAGCUUUGAAUUCUGCCAGAAUAGCAGCAGUAAUUGGCCUAGUAGCAUGUUCCAGGUUCUCCAGGCCCUCCUUUCUCAUGGGGGAAGAGGUAUGUUUGUUGGUGUCAGUUGCAGUUUUUUGUUGCUGAAGCAGAGGACUCGGCGGCUGCUCUCUUCAGAGCCAGAGCACAAUAACUAAGAGAAGGCAGAGCUGAAACAAGCAUCUAAUGGAGGAGAUGAUGUCUAAAAUGAUGCUGCAUGAUGGUCUGAUUUUUGCAUGAGACCCACUGAACUAUUUUUUCUUAACAUGCAAAAGUCAUGGAAUUUUAUUUUGCUAAAGGUGCAAGAGCCUGAUGAUCCUGUGUCCUGGCUAAUAUUAAACCUUCAAUCACUAUCACAAAAAAAAUCUGACCAUUAUCACAGCACUGUUUGUGGGAGCUUGCUGUGUGCAAAUUGGCUAAAUUACAACAAGACUUCAAAAGUACUUGUGGCUGUAAAAUUCUUUGGCAGCCCUCUGCUUGUGAAAGGUGGUAUGUAAAUGAAAGUCUCUCUCUUACUUUUGGAGGUGUGCUAUGAUGGCCAGUGACAGUCAUACUUUCCAUUACGUGCAUAAUUAGAUGAGAAGUGCUAGUCGAUUUAUUUUGUCAGUUGAUGCAGAUCAUUUUAUAUGUUGGCAACAUGUCAGAAGGAGACGGGAGAGAAAUGGACACAACAGAAAAAUUCGAACAUACUACAAUGUGUAAAAUGAAUCCUGUAAAGUGUUUCUGCUGUAUUUAUAUUUCCUAGCUACUGAAUAAAUGGGACCUUGAGAUGUUUGUUACCAGUUGAACAGGGUCAAGGAUCAGGAGGAAAAAUUGAGAAUGAAUACUGUCCUGUUUACCUCCCCUUCUAUCACCAUUGCCCAACAAGUUCAAUUUUUUCAGCUUCCCACAGGAACAACAUGCCUAUUUUUGACAUUUGUACAGAAUUGUCAAAACUAAAAUAAAAGGUGCACAAAAUUAA